RNAcentral lists this ribosomal RNA (253 nucleotides) under uncultured bacterium. Its description in RNAcentral is "partial 16S ribosomal RNA". It matches the Rfam family "Bacterial small subunit ribosomal RNA", at positions 524 to 776 of the family's 1533-position model. The record is from RNAcentral.
UACGUAGGGCGCAAGCGUUGUCCGGAAUUAUUGGGCGUAAAGAGCGUGUAGGCGGCCAGGUAGGUCUGGUGUGAAAACUCGAGGCUUAACCUCGAGCUGUCGGCGGAAACCAUCUGGCUAGAGUCCGGAAGAGGAGAAUGGAAUUCCCGGUGUAGCGGUGAAAUGCGCAGAUAUCGGGAAGAACACCCGUGGCGAAGGCGGUUCUCUGGGACGGUACUGACGCUGAGACGCGAAAGCGUGGGGAGCGAACAGG